This 410-nucleotide ribosomal RNA is filed under the name uncultured bacterium. RNAcentral describes it as "bacterial SSU rRNA". It matches the Rfam family "Bacterial small subunit ribosomal RNA", at positions 109 to 518 of the family's 1533-position model. The record is from RNAcentral.
AGUAACGCGUGGGCGAACCUGCCUCAGUACUGGGGGAUAGCAGUUGGAAACGACUGAUAAUACCGCAUAAGCGCACAGCAUCGCAGUGAUGACAGUGUGAAAAACUCCGGUGGUAUGACGAUGGGCCCGCGUCAGAUUAGCCAGUUGGCAGGGUAACGGCCUACCAAAGCGACGAUCUGUAGCCGGCCUGAGAGGCGGACGGCCACAUUGGGACUGAGACACGGCCCAAACUCCUACGGGAGGCAGCAGUGGGGGAUAUUGCACAAUGGAGGAAACUCUGAUGCAGCGACGCCGCGUGAAGUGAAGAAGUAUUUCGGUAUGUAAAGCUCUAUCAGCAGGGAAGAAAGACUCGCAAGAGAGAUGACGGUACCUGACUAAGAAGCCCCGGCUAACUACGUGCCAGCCGCUGC